GAUGAACGCUGGCGGCGUGCCUAAUACAUGCAAGUCGAGCGAACAGACGAGGAGCUUGCUCCUCUGACGUUAGCGGCGGACGGGUGAGUAACACGUGGAUAACCUACCUAUAAGACUGGGAUAACUUCGGGAAACCGGAGCUAAUACCGGAUAAUAUAUUGAACCGCAUGGUUCAAUAGUGAAAGACGGUUUUGCUGUCACUUAUAGAUGGAUCCGCGCCGCAUUAGCUAGUUGGUAAGGUAACGGCUUACCAAGGCAACGAGGCGGAGCCGACCUGAGAGGGUGAUCGGCCACACUGGAACUGAGCCGCGCUCCAGACUCCUACGGGAGGCCGCAGUCGGGAAUCUUCCGCAAUGGGCGAAAGCCUGACGGAGCAACGCCGCGUGAGUGAUGAAGGUCUUCGGAUCGUAAAACUCUGUUAUUAGGGAAGAACAAAUGUGUAAGUAACUAUGCCCGUCUUGACGGUACCUAAUCAGAAAGCCACGGCUAACUACGUG
This 497-nucleotide ribosomal RNA is filed under the name uncultured bacterium. Its description in RNAcentral is "partial 16S ribosomal RNA". It matches the Rfam family "Bacterial small subunit ribosomal RNA", at positions 28 to 507 of the family's 1533-position model. The record is from RNAcentral.